UUCACUGUUCAAGCCAAUCCGAGUCAAGAUGUCCAUCCGAACUUCGAACCGUACGAACGCUUCGAACGAUUCCAAGCACGGUGAUUCCUAACGUUCCAAGCGUAGUGAAAUGACCGCAGCCGUCUUCGAAGUGUCGCGCUAAAUCAAAAGAGAGAAUUCAUCGGGGGUCAUGUCGAUCCUGAUGAUGGAGCCCUUCUACGGCGGCUCGCACAAGCAGCUGGCGGACCUUCUGGCGAGCGAGCUGAAGGAUGAGUGCACGCUGGUCACCAUGCCGGCCUGCAAGUGGCACUGGCGGGCACGCACCUCGGCGAUCUGGCUCGCGCAGAACGUGCCGCCCUCGGACAGCUACAGGGUGCUGUUUGCCAGCAGUGUGGUGCCUCUGGCCGAACUGCUGGGGCUGUGCCCCUGGCUACAGACACUACACAAAGUGGUCUACUUUCAUGAGAACCAGCUGGCCUAUCCCGUGCGCAACCCCCGUGUCAGGGACUUCCAGUACGGCUACAACCAAAUCCUCUCCUGCCUAGUGGCGGACCGGGUGGUGUUCAACUCGCGCCACAACCUGGAGUCGUUCCUCGGAGCAGUGGGCCCCUUCCUGAGGCAGAUGCCCGACUGCCGGCCGCCGCCUGGGACGCUGUCCCAGCGCAUCCGGGCCAAGGCCUCGGUGCUCUACUUCCCCCUGAACCUGCCAGCACCCAGGGCACUGGCACCCGAGUUUCCAGACAUCCUGCACAUAGUGUGGCCCCACCGAUGCACGACAAGGGCCCGGAGGAGUUCUUUGAAGCCCUGUUCCAGCUCAAGGCAGAGGGGCUCCCCUUCCGAGUGUCCGUUUUGGGAGAGGGCUACGCGGAUGUUCCAGAGGUGUUCUCGAGGGCCCGGGCCGAGCUGGAGGAGCACAUCCUGCAGUGGGGCCGGCUGGACAGCAGGGAGGCCUACCUGGGCCUGCUGGCCAAGGCACACGUGGCCGUCUCCACAGCCAGGCACGAGUUCUUUGGAGUGGCCAUGCUGGAGGCCACCUUCCUGGGCUGCUUCCCGCUGUGCCCCAACAGGCUGGUCUACCCAGAGAUCUUCCCGAGGGAGUGCCUCUACAACACCACCAACCAGCUCGUGAAGAAGCUGAGGAACUUUUGCGGAAAGCCGUCGGCCGUCAGGCGGCUGAAGCCCCAGGUGGACCACGAGAGAUACAGCUGGCAGGCGCUGCGGCCCCUCUACCUGGACCUGCUGAGGGCUGGCGGGACACGCGAGGACGCACCCAACGCGUGAACGUCCUGGCGAAAGCGACGGGGUCUGGCUUCGGGACGAGCCAGCUAGCUCCAGGAAACGACGGAACACCUCCCGGUUGAGAGACUCCCAAGAUGCUGUCUGCAGGGGCCGAAGAGGAAAAAGCCCUUGGGACGACCAAAGCGGACGGCGCGUCGAGGAAAGGCAUUCGAUGCCAACAAGGUCGUCCCGUUACUCCUGGAGUCUGCGACAGUCAGGACGACGCAGCCUCGCCGCAGCUUUGGAGACUAUGAGUGUGUGCAGUGUUCGGUGCCCCCACCUAGGGACUCGAGGCCUCAAAAAUCGCAGAGUACCACUCCAACGGGUACUCAGAUUGUGCACAUGCAACUGCACAUAAUGUAAAUAAAUGGCUCUUUACAACCUAAAGGCAGAACUCCAA
RNAcentral lists this unclassified non-coding RNA (1657 nucleotides) under Ixodes scapularis (black-legged tick). Its description in RNAcentral is "glycosyltransferase-like domain-containing protein 1, transcript variant X1". Lineage: Eukaryota; Metazoa; Arthropoda; Arachnida; Ixodida; Ixodidae. The record is from RNAcentral.